UGGUGACCAGAGAGUACACC
This 20-nucleotide small nuclear RNA is filed under the name Arabidopsis thaliana (thale cress). Its description in RNAcentral is "snRNA_02732". Lineage: Eukaryota; Viridiplantae; Streptophyta; Magnoliopsida; Brassicales; Brassicaceae. The record is from RNAcentral.